Molecule: ribosomal RNA, 425 nt
Filed under: uncultured bacterium
Lineage: Bacteria
Description: partial 16S ribosomal RNA
Rfam family: Bacterial small subunit ribosomal RNA
Source: RNAcentral
GUGGGGAAUCUUGCGCAAUGGGCGAAAGCCUGACGCAGCCAUGCCGCGUGAAUGAUGAAGGUCUUAGGAUUGUAAAAUUCUUUCACCGGGGACGAUAAUGACGGUACCCGGAGAAGAAGCCCCGGCUAACUUCGUGCCAGCAGCCGCGGUAAUACGAAGGGGGCUAGCGUUGCUCGGAAUUACUGGGCGUAAAGGGCGCGUAGGCGGACAGGUUAGUCAGAGGUGAAAGCCCAGGGCUCAACCUUGGAAUUGCCUUUGAUACUGGCUGUCUUGAGUACGGGAGAGGUGAGUGGAACUCCGAGUGUAGAGGUGAAAUUCGUAGAUAUUCGGAAGAACACCAGUGGCGAAGGCGACUCACUGGCCCGUUACUGACGCUGAGGCGCGAAAGCGUGGGGAGCAAACAGGAUUAGAUACCCCGGUAGUCC